AGUCGAACGGCAGCACGGGGGCAACCCUGGUGGCGAGUGGCGAACGGGUGAGUAAUACAUCGGAACGUGUCCUGUAGUGGGGGAUAGCCCGGCGAAAGCCGGAUUAAUACCGCAUACGCUCUACGGAGGAAAGGGGGGGAUCUUAGGACCUCCCGCUACAGGGGCGGCCGAUGGCAGAUUAGCUAGUUGGUGGGGUAAAGGCCUACCAAGGCGACGAUCUGUAGCUGGUCUGAGAGGACGACCAGCCACACUGGGACUGAGACACGGCCCAGACUCCUACGGGAGGCAGCAGUGGGGAAUUUUGGACAAUGGGCGAAAGCCUGAUCCAGCAAUGCCGCGUGUGUGAAGAAGGCCUUCGGGUUGUAAAGCACUUUUGUCCGGAAAGAAAACCUCCGCCCUAAUAUGGUGGGGGGAUGACGGUACCGGAAGAAUAAGCACCGGCUAACUACGUGCCAGCAGCCGCGGUAAUACGUAGGGUGCAAGCGUUAAUCGGAAUUACUGGGCGUAAAGCGUGCGCAGGCGGUCCGCUAAGACAGAUGUGAAAUCCCCGGGCUUAACCUGGGAACUGCAUUUGUGACUGGCGGGCUAGAGUAUGGCAGAGGGGGGUAGAAUUCCACGUGUAGCAGUGAAAUGCGUAGAGAUGUGGAGGAAUACCGAUGGCGAAGGCAGCCCCCUGGGCCAAUACUGACGCUCAUGCACGAAAGCGUGGGGAGCAAACAGGAUUAGAUACCCUGGUAGUCCACGCCCUAAACGAUGUCAACUAGUUGUUGGGGAUUCAUUUCCUUAGUAACGUAGCUAACGCGUGAAGUUGACCGCCUGGGGAGUACGGUCGCAAGAUUAAAACUCAAAGGAAUUGACGGGGACCCGCACAAGCGGUGGAUGAUGUGGAUUAAUUCGAUGCAACGCGAAAAACCUUACCUACCCUUGACAUGUAUGGAAUCCUGCUGAGAGGUGGGAGUGCCCGAAAGGGAGCCAUAACACAGGUGCUGCAUGGCUGUCGUCAGCUC
Molecule: ribosomal RNA, 1007 nt
Filed under: Paraburkholderia sediminicola
Lineage: Bacteria; Pseudomonadati; Pseudomonadota; Betaproteobacteria; Burkholderiales; Burkholderiaceae
Description: bacterial SSU rRNA
Rfam family: Bacterial small subunit ribosomal RNA
Source: RNAcentral